AUUGAACGCUGGCGGCAUGCCUUACACAUACAAGUCGAACGGCAGCACGGGUGCUUGCACCUGGUGGCGAGUGGCGAACGGGUGAGUAAUACAUCGGAACAUGUCCUGUAGUGGGGGAUAGCCCGGCGAAAGCCGGAUUAAUACCGCAUACGAUCUACGGAUGAAAGCGGGGGACCUUCGGGCCUCGCGCUAUAGGGUUGGCCGAUGGCUGAUUAGCUAGUUGGUGGGGUAAAGGCCUACCAAGGCGACGAUCAGUAGCUGGUCUGAGAGGACGACCAGCCACACUGGGACUGAGACACGGCCCAGACUCCUACGGGAGGCAGCAGUGGGGAAUUUUGGACAAUGGGCGAAAGCCUGAUCCAGCAAUGCCGCGUGUGUGAAGAAGGCCUUCGGGUUGUAAAGCACUUUUGUCCGGAAAGAAAUCCUUGGCUCUAAUACAGUCGGGGGAUGACGGUACCGGAAGAAUAAGCACCGGCUAACUACGUG
Molecule: ribosomal RNA, 486 nt
Filed under: uncultured bacterium
Lineage: Bacteria
Description: partial 16S ribosomal RNA
Rfam family: Bacterial small subunit ribosomal RNA
Source: RNAcentral